This is a long non-coding RNA of Alexandromys fortis (reed vole), 1018 nucleotides long. RefSeq lists it as uncharacterized. The record is from RefSeq and is a predicted model, not a curated record. The transcript has 3 exons. Lineage: Eukaryota; Metazoa; Chordata; Mammalia; Rodentia; Cricetidae.
CUUUCAUUAGAUGGCUUCCUGCUACUUAGUUAACCCUGGGCACUAACAGACACCUAUGUUCAAUUUCUAGCUAUAAAGAGAAUACGCCAUGCUGCUCCACGGUUCUGUUCGUGGAUGUGCGGGCCUGCAGGCCACUCCACGGUUCUGUCCACGGAUGUGCGUCCUGCAGGAAGCAGUCCACCCUAAUUAAUGGUCAAAGGCAUCCACCCUGGAGUCUGGUGCCAGACAGGUCAUCUAGCCUCAGCUUUCUGAAUAAAAUUGGAAACCUUUCCAGCUGAAGAAAGUCGGAGGGCAGUGUGGGAAGAAAGGAAGAGAGGGAGGACUGGAGAAGGAAAUACAGCAGGUUCACUCCAGAGGUCAGCAGGAACCACCGCCUGGUGCCCUUUCCCACAGACCAUAUCAAGGCUAACGAUGCACACUAUCAACUAUCUCAGGACGGCGCUGCUAUGCCACCUGGGCGUGUGGCUAACAGAAGUGAAUGCCCCCCCCCUUUUUAAAGAAAUGACAACUUCAUUCAAACAGCCAAUGUAGAUGCAUCAACCAAGGAGAUGACAAAAUGGCAAUUAAAAAUUUGACUGUUUUUAUGUAAAUCUUUUUCAGAGAAAAAAAAGCAUCAUUGGCAAGAGUAUUCGCCACAUUCUACAGUACACUUCACACAGCAAACAGAAAAGCACCUUUAUAACGUCUCUCUCCCAGUAAAACCAAACGUUCCAAUACUGCUUUUAAAAAUGUGUGUGUGUGUGUGUGUGUGUGUGUGUUAAUCUCCAGAGCUGGUAAGCCAGAAACCCCAGAUUCUCCUAGAGCUGGUGUAGUGAUGUUUGUGUUUUAACAAAUAAAGCUUGUCUGCAGAUCAGAGUGCAGAGUGAAGCCACUAGUGGUCAGGCCCUGGCGGCUCACACCCUCAAUCCCAGAACUUGGGAUCCUGUGCCUUUAAUCCCAGCACUUAGGGAGGUGAAGACAGGAGUGAUAUGGCUGGGUGGAGGGAGGAAUAUGAGGGAGGAGACAGGAGCUCAGUGCA